RNAcentral lists this ribosomal RNA (433 nucleotides) under uncultured bacterium. RNAcentral describes it as "partial 16S ribosomal RNA". It matches the Rfam family "Bacterial small subunit ribosomal RNA", at positions 29 to 507 of the family's 1533-position model. The record is from RNAcentral.
AACGAACGCUGGCGGCAUGCCUAACACAUGCAAGUCGAACGAGACCUUCGGGUCUAGUGGCGCACGGGUGCGUAACGCGUGGGAACCUGCCCUUAGGUUCGGAAUAACUCCCCGAAAGGGGUGCUAAUACCGGAUAAUGUCUUCGGCCCAAAGAUUUAUCGCCUUUGGUUGGGCCCGCGUUGGAUUAGCUAGUUGGUAGGGUAAAAGCCUACCAAGGCGACGAUUCAUAGCUGGUUUGAGAGGAUGAUCAGCCACACUGGGACUGAGACACGGCCCAGACUCCUACGGGAGGCAGCAGUGGGGAAUAUUGGACAAUGGGCGAAAGCCUGAUCCAGCAAUGCCGCGUGAGUGAUGAAGGCCUUAGGGUUGUAAAGCUCUUUUACCCGGGAUGAUAAUGACAGUACCGGGAGAAUAAGCUCCGGCUAACUCCGUG